This 23-nucleotide microRNA is filed under the name Caenorhabditis briggsae. Its description in RNAcentral is "Cbr-Mir-36-o6_5p* (star (passenger))". The record is from RNAcentral. Lineage: Eukaryota; Metazoa; Nematoda; Chromadorea; Rhabditida; Rhabditidae.
CGCUGGCUUUUUCCACGGUGAUA